CAGUAGCCACGGGAAUACGAAGGGGGCUAGCGUUGCUCGGAAUGACUGGGCGUAAAGGGUGCGUAGGCGGCGGCCAAAGUCAGGCGUGAAAUUCCCGGGCUCAACCUGGGGGCUGCGUUUGAUACUUGGUUGCUUGAGUGGGGAAGAGGGUCGUGGAAUUCCCAGUGUAGAGGUGAAAUUCGUAGAUAUUGGGAAGAACACCGGUGGCGAAGGCGGCGACCUGGUCCUUUACUGACGCUGAGGCGCGAAAGCGUGGGGAGCAAACAGGAUUAGAUACCCCCGUAGUCCCUGUCUCUUAUAC
This 301-nucleotide ribosomal RNA is filed under the name uncultured bacterium. RNAcentral's name for it is "partial 16S ribosomal RNA". It matches the Rfam family "Bacterial small subunit ribosomal RNA", at positions 509 to 807 of the family's 1533-position model. The record is from RNAcentral.